CUGUGUAGGGAUCUAUAGAUGCGUGUCACCAUAGACUCAUGAGCUUACUUUGGUUUAUGUGUCUUUGGACUGGUCUGUUUUUAGUGGCACUGGGGAGACUGAGGUAACUUCCCCAACAUCAUGGAUGACAUUAGUAAAAGGGCAGAAGGAACUUCUUUUUUAUAGUUUAAGCUUAGCCAAAAGCUUGCUACUUCAAAAAACAAAACAAAAACACAGAAACCUUGAGUAUUUUGACACUGUUUUUCUCUUCCAGCUCUAUGAGGGUCAUUUUCAUUUAGCAGUUGCUCUCCAGAACCUGAAUCUCCACAAGAAAGCCAUCCAGCAAUUAACAAAUGCCUCAAGGAUUGCCUCCAUACCAAAGGACAGAUGAGAGAAGCAAUAAAGGAUGCUAAUAAAGCUAUUUCUUUGGACAUUCUUAACCCAGAUGUGUACUGUGUUAGAGCUCUCGUGUGGAAUUCAUGCAAAGAAACCAAAAGAGCCAUUUGUGAUUUAAACUAUGGCUUCAAGCUAAAUCCUUCUCACAUUUGUACCUUAAUAUUAAGAGGGGCUAUCACUUAGUCUAUUGGAAAUGAAAAUGAUCAGUUUGACGAGAAGAAAGAU
Long non-coding RNA from Balaenoptera musculus (blue whale), 600 nucleotides. RefSeq lists it as uncharacterized. The record is from RefSeq and is a predicted model, not a curated record. NCBI's taxonomy places the organism in Eukaryota, Metazoa, Chordata, Mammalia, Artiodactyla, Balaenopteridae. The transcript is spliced from 3 exons.